GACAGAGGGUGCAAACGUUGUUCGGAAUUACUGGGCUUAAAGAGUUCGUAGGCGGCGCAGAAAGUAGGGUGUGAAAGCCCUCGGCUCAACCGAGGAAUUGCGCCCUAAACUACUGUGCUUGAGGAACCUAGAGGUGAGCGGAACUGAUGGUGGAGCGGUGAAAUGCGUUGAUAUCAUCAGGAACACCGGAGGCGAAGGCGGCUCACUGGGGGUUUUCUGACGCUGAGGAACGAAAGCCAGGGGAGCGAACGGG
This 253-nucleotide ribosomal RNA is filed under the name uncultured bacterium. Its description in RNAcentral is "partial 16S ribosomal RNA". It matches the Rfam family "Bacterial small subunit ribosomal RNA", at positions 524 to 776 of the family's 1533-position model. The record is from RNAcentral.